Molecule: non-coding RNA, 159 nt
Filed under: Ovis aries (sheep)
Lineage: Eukaryota; Metazoa; Chordata; Mammalia; Artiodactyla; Bovidae
Description: Bacterial large subunit ribosomal RNA
Rfam family: Bacterial large subunit ribosomal RNA
Source: Rfam by way of RNAcentral
AUAACAGCACAGGCCUAUUCUAGAGUCCAUACUGACAAUAGGCUCUACGACCUCUGUGUUGAAUCAGGGCACCCCAGUGGCGUGACCACUAUUAAACUUUCGUUUGUGUGAUGAUUAAAGUCCUAUGUGAUCUGAAUUCAGACCGGUAUAAUCCAGGUU